UGAAAUUGUACUCAUCCUUUAAAAUCCCAACUCAAUUGCUGCCUUUCCCAUAAAGCUGAGUUCUUAGACUCAGUUAGUUGCUUUUCUUCAACAUUUUCUUGCCAGUGUGUGUGUGUGUGUGUGUAUAUAUACAUGCACAUGCAUGCAUGUGUGUUUCUUCUGUCAUAACUCUUAAAGCCAGAGGUCAUGUUAUAGUCACCCUGUAUCUUCAUGCCUUAUAGGGAGCCUAGAACAUUGCAGAUGCUCAGUAAAAGUUUGUGGAGUGGCCAGGCGUGGUGGCUCAUGCCUGUAAUCCCAGCACUUUGGGAGGCCGAGGCUGUCCGGAGUACACAUGGCUUAGAAGUUCCAUUAAGCCAUAAGGGAAAACUGAUGGUGACAGAGGAAUAUAUUGACUUCCUGUUAAAUGUGGCAAAUCAAAAAAUGGAGGAAAACAAGAAAAGAAUUGAGAGGUUUUACAACUGCCUACAGCAUGCUUUGGAAAGGGAAACCAUGACUAACUUACAUCCCAAGAUCAAAGAGAAAAAUAACUCAUCAUAUACUCAUAAGAAAAAAAA
This 554-nucleotide small RNA is filed under the name Pongo abelii (Sumatran orangutan). RNAcentral's name for it is "processed transcript". The record is from RNAcentral. Lineage: Eukaryota; Metazoa; Chordata; Mammalia; Primates; Hominidae.